CCUACGUGAUCUGAGUUCAGACCGGAGAAAUCCAGGUCAGUUUCUAUCUAUAAGAAGUCUUUUCUAGUACGAAAGGACCGAAAAGACAUAGCCAAAGCAUCAGCAAGCUAUCCUCACAACUUAUGACCCGUACUCAAUAAAUAACAAGUUCAACACACAGCCUUAGAAAAAGGCA
This 175-nucleotide ribosomal RNA is filed under the name Gastrotheca pseustes (San Lucas marsupial frog). RNAcentral's name for it is "partial 16S ribosomal RNA". Lineage: Eukaryota; Metazoa; Chordata; Amphibia; Anura; Hemiphractidae. The record is from RNAcentral.